Camelus dromedarius (Arabian camel) is the source of this 799-nucleotide long non-coding RNA. RefSeq lists it as uncharacterized. NCBI's taxonomy places the organism in Eukaryota, Metazoa, Chordata, Mammalia, Artiodactyla, Camelidae. The transcript has 5 exons. The record is from RefSeq and is a predicted model, not a curated record.
CUGAGCUGCCGGGAAUCCUGUGCCUGGGCUGUGGGAAGAUGUGAGCCCAGGUGUGAAGCCGGAUGCUUACCUGUCAGGAAGGCAGUCAGAAAUCUCAGAGCCAAGUUGAACGUGCCUUGAAACAACUUCUCUUGCCCCCAGGUUUCUGGGGUUCCUGAACAAGGUCUUCUGUCCCUCAGGGUAUUGGAGGCUUUAGGACCAGGAGAAAAAACAAGCUGAAGACCUCUCAGGAGUAAGGUUGAGAAGCUCUUCAGGCUUGCCUUCUGCAAAUCGUUGGACAGAAGCUUUAACUGCAGAUAUGGAGAAACUGUGCUGAGAAGCCUGUGAUUCUGAUCAUCCCCAACAUGAAGAAAUAUAUUUAAAGAUCUAUUACUCCGAGGUUCUUUCUGUUCUUGGAAUGUGCCACAUCCAUCCCACCACAGCAUGGCACUGCCUGUUCUCUCUGCCUGGAACAGUGCAUCCAGGGGCACCUACUUCCUGUUACUCAGUCUCGGAUCAACAUCAUUUCCUCUGAAAGCUGCUUCUGACCCCCAUGCUAACCUGCUCUCACCCCUUGAGUCUCUAGCACAUCUUGUGUUUUAUUUUCUUCACAUCAUUGAAGACUUUCUGAAAUUAUAUUGCUAAUGCCUUUAAAUGGUUGAUUAUUGGUGUCCCUCCUGUAGAGUGUCAGUUUCACGAUCAUGUGUGUGUUGUUUGCUGCUGCAUCUUUACUGCCUGCUGUCUGUGCCUGGCCCACAGUCAGGUGCUCAGUACAUGAUUAAAUAUGUUGCAGAAACUAAGAACACAGAAAGGGAAAACA